CCAGUUUUGUACAUGGCAGCAGAUGGUGGGUGUGUGUGUGUGUGUGUGUGUAUGGGGGUUUUGUGUGUGUGAGAGAGAGAGAGAGAGAGAGAGAGAGAGAGAGAGAGGGAGUGGGAGUGUGCACGCACGUGCUGAUGCUAUUCCUGUAACCCCACAUGGCACUGUAGAUGGUGUGAGCAGGUAUUUAAGAAUGGUGGGAUUUCUCUGUUGGAGGGUGUGACGAAAUGGAGGUGGUGAAAUUUUGAUCAGAGAGAGAAGCACUCAUCACUCUCAGCAUGACCGGUUAUCACCUUUCACUUCUCUAAUGGCACGCCUUGCUCUGCUCAUUCUCCUUCUCUUUUUCUCAACACAUACUAUAUACAAUUAAAGAUAAAUAGAGUGAUGAGCAGUAUUUAAAAUUUGUAAUACUUUGUCAUUUGUAUUUUAUGCAAUAAAUAGGAAAAAAAUCUGUAUUGUCACUAAGGUAAAAACCUCAAGUGUUCUAGCUUUCAUAAAUGGCCCAAUUUAAAAUAUUUUCUGAAAGGGAAACAUUUUUAUACUAGAGAUCUACAUAUACACACCAG
Molecule: long non-coding RNA, 563 nt
Organism: Ictalurus punctatus (channel catfish)
Lineage: Eukaryota; Metazoa; Chordata; Actinopteri; Siluriformes; Ictaluridae
Source: Ensembl